UUUAACUGAAGAGUUUGAUCAUGGCUCAGAUUGAACGCUGGCGGCAGGCUUAACACAUGCAAGUCGAGCGGAGAGAGGUAGCUUGCUACUGAUCUUAGCGGCGGACGGGUGAGUAAUGCUUAGGAAUCUGCCUAUUAGUGGGGGACAACAUUUCGAAAGGAAUGCUAAUACC
Molecule: ribosomal RNA, 172 nt
Filed under: Acinetobacter pittii
Lineage: Bacteria; Pseudomonadati; Pseudomonadota; Gammaproteobacteria; Moraxellales; Moraxellaceae
Description: partial 16S ribosomal RNA
Rfam family: Bacterial small subunit ribosomal RNA
Source: RNAcentral